Molecule: ribosomal RNA, 429 nt
Filed under: Chloroflexota bacterium
Lineage: Bacteria; Bacillati; Chloroflexota
Description: Chloroflexi bacterium partial 16S ribosomal RNA
Rfam family: Bacterial small subunit ribosomal RNA
Source: RNAcentral
UGGGGAAUAUUGCACAAUGGGCGCAAGCCUGAUGCAGCCAUGCCGCGUGUGUGAAGAAGCCCUUCGGGUUGUAAAGCACUUUCAGCGGGGAGGAAGGCGAUAAGGUUAAUAACCUUGUCGAUUGACGUUACCCGCAGAAGAAGCACCGGCUAACUCCGUGCCAGCAGCCGCGGUAAUACGGAGGGUGCAAGCGUUAAUCGGAAUUACUGGGCGUAAAGCGCACGCAGGCGGUUGAUUGAGUCAGAUGUGAAAUCCCCGGGCUUAACCCGGGAAUUGCAUCUGAUACUGGUCAGCUAGAGUCUUGUAGAGGGGGGUAGAAUUCCAUGUGUAGCGGUGAAAUGCGUAGAGAUGUGGAGGAAUACCGGUGGCGAAGGCGGCCCCCUGGACAAAGACUGACGCUCAGGUGCGAAAGCGUGGGGAGCAAACAGG